CCCAACCCCUCCUCCUACACCAGUGACAGCUUUUCACACUGAAAGGCAGUGCUAUUGUAUAACAAACGCUUAACUCUUAGCCCAGCCGGGCUCGCUGGCUACUUUUGCAAGCUCUUUACCAACUAGCGAUGCUUGUAAGCGGUGCUUGUAACUCCUAGCUUGUACCACGCUGCCACUAGCUGCGCUAUCAGCUAGCGGCGUUCAAAGCAGCUCCUCAAACCGCGGCUUGUGCCCGCGCGCCCGCUGCGCUAUCAGCUGGGCUGCGCCUAAAGCACCUUUGCAAGCCCCGACUUAAGCCCCGCGCCGCGCUCCCCUCGCUCGCCAGGGACAGCCCGUGCCACGCAUGCGCCCCACCCGCUCGAUCAGGUAGAGUGGCUGCUAGCCGCCCCGAGCAUGCGCACUACCCGCACUAGCAGGUAGUGUGGCUGAGCUGCCCCGCGCAUGCGCACUACCCGCACUAGCAGGUAGUGUGGGCUGAGAGCUGCCCUGCGCAUGCGCUCUCUAGCACUGCCGCGCCGCGUCUCUCUAUCUUAGCAACGCCGCACCGCGCAUCACCGUUCCACUCACACAUACACACACACGCACAAGCACGCACGUCCGGACGUAACAGACACACUACACUGCAAUCGGGACACACACCACACACUGAAAUCGCGAUUUCGCCCUCCCCGAGCCGCGCUAUCAGCUGGGGAGGUCCUCCCGCCGCCGGCCUCUCCCCCGAUGGCGGUCUGCUUGCAAGCCCCUAGGCAAACCUGCGCGCAAAAACAUCUUUUUGCGACUUAUCAGUGCCAACCUUAAGAAAAUAAAUUAAUACAUACCGCUUUCAUCCGCUAGUCGACGGGCCGUGGUAUGCUCCCCGCAGUGUACAGCCGAGGCGCAGAGUCCCUCCGGGGAAAAGCCCCGUGGCGCCUGAGGGUGUCUGCUCCCAACCGGACCUGCGGGUGAGCAGAGCAGUCCCUUCGUGGUCGCCAACUGAAACGAUACGCGGAAUAAAUCAAUAGACUCCAUAACCUGGGGUAGUUAUGAAGUGGGUAUGUACGUCAGCGCCCGGCACAAGUGAGAUAGCCCUCCAAAACUUGUGCCCCGAGCCUCAGUCUGACCCACACUUUUAUUCUUAAAGACGUUCCAUAUGCAAUACACUGCACGACUUUUUCAUGCGUAUUCAACCCCUGGCCCCGCCUGUCCUCGCUUCUCAUGCUAAAGCUGUCACAGAGCAGAAGAGCAGCUGAGAUGCUGAAAAGCAGCAAAGCUGAACAGCCUGCCUCAGCUUCAGCAGUGUGCAAUUGACUGAAGGCAAAACACGAAGCAGCAGAGCAGCGGGCUUCUGUGCGCACUGAAGGCAAUUGCAAGAAUCCAGCAGCUGCUCCUUGCCAAGCACAGUCAGCUGCCUAGGUUCUUGCUUCUUGACCAACUCCCAGUUGCCCUUCUUUUCAGCAGCUGCCACCGUGUUCUCUGCAUCUCGGAGCCUCUGGGGAGCAACAAGAAUUUCCAAGGUGGUGUAAGAGCCCGUCUGAAGCCCCUCAUUUUCCGUUCUGCCUUCCGAUUGCCACGAGAAAGAAUCCCUUCCUCCACUGCAGUUCCGGCUUAGAACAGGACACAGUGCAGUGAUUCAAAUGGACUUAUUCUUCAUUGGAUUCGUCUUGCUUUGGUGGUUUCUGUGGACUCUCCUGUUCCCGCGUGGCGAUUACAAUGGACUUUCGUUGUUACACUUGCUCCCCCCUCUUUCCUCUGUGGACUAUAACUGGAGCCCCGAGUCGACCAGAACUUCGGAGACUCCCCCGACACGACAGACGGAACCCCAUCGUCCGGACCACUGAGGAUCUCGCCUGUGUUGGUAGCUAUUCCCAUACCCCUCUUCUCUCUCUCUCUCUCCUUUUAUCUCCUUUCCGAUCCCCACUAUCGCAUUUACUGUUUUGGCCCUAAUAAAGGUGCAUUUGUUGUGAUUAA
Molecule: long non-coding RNA, 1947 nt
Organism: Vidua chalybeata
Lineage: Eukaryota; Metazoa; Chordata; Aves; Passeriformes; Viduidae
Exons: 3
Source: RefSeq, a predicted model, not a curated record